GACCCGCCCACACCUCUGACGGACCGACCUGCUGUGGAUGCGGAGGCAAAGAGAAGAAGGACCGAACAUGGCCGGCUCGCUCCAAUUAGGAGAUACUGAGCGGGCAGUUAUGGCAGGUGUGCCUGUUGCACUCCAAGGUGCACUUCCGCCGGUACCGUCCACACCGUUAACGGUCUCCACACCCCUGGUUAACCCACAGGCCCCUACAGCUGUGUCCUCAGGCACUGCCACCUUUGCUACCACUAUGACAUCACUGAGAUCAGAUGGGCAUACAGUACUUUCCAAAGAGGACAUUGAGGGUUUGCUGCUGCUGGGAACAACGCUUUCUGAAGUGGCUUCAGUCCUGUGGAUCUCCGGACCCACUUUAUACAAGCUGAUGUGGGAAUACAACUUAAGGGAUUGAGCCAUUUUCAUCCCAUGGCUUUUCUCCCCACGUGCAAAAAAAAGUUUCCAGAGAGCGCUUCAUGUCUGGCUAGGUGAGAACACUUUGCAACUGCCUAAAGUUGUUUUUUUAUUUUUUUCCUGGAAGUCACUGAGAACAGGAUGCGCUCCACACGGGAGCCAAGGGGAGCUUGGCUCGUCCUAAUACGACUUGAGCUCCCCUGAAAAACAUCAUUUGUGGAAUUUUGCGUGCUCACUAAAUAUUACUAUUAUUAUUAUUACUAAUUAUUAUUUUUGCCAUGCAUUUCUAUUUUUCUGUAUCUUCACCUUCAUGGAUCAUGUGUAAAAUGAGGCUUUUUAUUGAUGUAUGAUUGGUUGAUGAUGAUGAUGAUGAUGAUCAGGAAGUUAUUGUGCUAAUCUGAAUUUCUUGGGUAACUUUAACCUUGUUUGUGAGCACCCAUGGUAGGCAAUCUGCUUUAGUCAUUGUGUUUGCACAAUGACUAAGCAGAUUGCCUACCAUGGAUUGAAAUAAACACAGGCUUACUGGACAGAAACAUAAGAAUAUUCAAACAAUCUUUUAUUUGAAAUAACCAAAAAUUGUACGAGAAAAUGGUGUUGAAAAACUUUAACUUCUAACCCUUUAACCUAAAAACAGUAUCUCUUUAAACCUCAUUCAUCUGUGAACCCACAUUAGAUUCUACUGUAGAGAGAUGUUUUAAGGCCUGAAAAAGAACCAAAGACCAAUCUGAGUGCAGCAAACACAUAUUCAGCAGUUAUGUUCACCUGAAGCCCGUCAUGUUAUCUCACACAACCUUUCUCCACUGUUGUGUGUGUGUGUGUGUGUGUGUAUGCUGAUUGGAGUCGGAGCAGCUGGGUCGUGUGAGCCUGAGUGUGAGGAACACACUUCCUGUGCUGAGAGAUGCAAUUAAAGAGCUCAUCCUCGUCGAUUCUCAUCCAUUGCGCAGGAGGGAAAAGAACCAUUAACCCACAUAUUUAUAGGGCACGGCCUGAACUUCAACCAAAAACCAUAUGCCGAAUCAUUUGCAUGGGGAAACCCAUUUAUCCAACUUGUUUGCCGGAGAAAACGUGAGAUGCACAUGAGUCUUUGAAAGGGACCUGGGGCAGCCUUUUAGUAAGUGGGUCGGAUGGACGGAAUGCCUCCAGAUCAGUCGGUACGCGUGUCACAAAGCAUGCUUGUCUCUGGCUAACAGGGUGAAAGAGGCUCAGUCGAAUGGCCUCCUUUCUGUCCGACACUCAAUUAAGGCCUAAUUGGUUUGAGGUCCACUACAGGCAUGUGGCAAGGCAACACCCCAGGCUUCUGUGCACUUGUUCCCUGUUUUCUGACUCCCCCCUCUGGAAACAUUCCUUUGAUCUGUGAACAACCAAAGUAGGUUUUAAGCCAAGGGGUUGAUAGCCUAUUUUCCCCUUUGAACAUGUACAACAAUUACUUUGGUAUUUUUACAGUUCAUUUGACCCACAGAUGAAGAACUACAGAGGGUCUGACACAGGACACAGCAGAUACAGAGCCAUUUGAAUUUGGCUAUGGAUCCGUUUGUCUUUGUAAGCUGUUUUUGUGUGUAUGUUUUGCACAAAAGAGGGAGUCUUUGUGCGCAGGCUUGGAUGUGUACUAUGUGAGACAUCGAUGAGCUGUGUCAGCAGUAUAGAGCAUCUCCUCCUUUAAUGCAUUACUGGAAAUCUCCACCACCGCUCUCCAGAGACCCUCACCGCCAUGUAACAGCAACAUUACUGGGGUCAUUAGAUUUUGUACCUCCUUAACUUGGUGUGGUCAGGUCGGAUACAUCUCCUCAAGCCUACUGAAACUACUUUCUAAUCUGUCUUGUGGAAAAGGACACUGCUCUUGCAUUUACUCACCUGGCAUCAAAAUUGGAUCUGUACCCAGACAUAUCAUACGGAUAAAAUGAUCUGUUCGUGCCUUUUGUGUUUAUUUGAAUAUUUUUAAUGUAUUCUUGUUAUCAUUGUGAUCAGAUCUCUGUCCUCGAGUGAUUUCAGUUGGCAGCAAAUCAGAACCAGACUCCCUUAAGAAACCACACAGUUUUGUGAGUUUUUGAGUUAGAGGAGACUCCUUUAGCUUUGUAAGAUAGUGUCCGGGACAGAUUCUUAAGUAUCUGUCUGCUGUUAGCUUACUAUCUCGCCAAGACAUCUGUUACAACUAUGGAUUUUUUGUAUGGCAUAUUUUUGUCUUUAUUUUGCUGUCAGACAGUUUAGUUUAGGCUUGCUAUACUAUCUACCUGUGUCUCAGAUUGAGAAUAACAAUAAAGGCACAUUUUCAGCCACUAAUAUUUAAGUAAACAUAGCAAAACUGGCUCAGAAGUGUUAUAAAACUAUUUUUCUCCCAGCUGAACCGUCCUCUCAGCCUCCUCUGUCCUGUGUUCUUGAAUAGGUCUGUUUGAUCCGACAAUACAAGGAACCUCAAAGUGGAAUAAGAAUGAAUCUAGGAGCCUUGACUCUGUGGUCAGGGAUUAUACGAUCAAUACUCCAUUCCGUCUUCAAACACAUUGGACGUGAUAUAACCUUGGGCUGGAUCGCCGCCUCCAUAUCUCAUCUUCUCCCAUCUUUUAUGUUUGUUGCUUUAAUUGGUACGGCUGUGUCUCCGUACCAAGACAUCCGACACGAGCGACAUCUGCCUGCAAACAUGUUUACAUCCUGUCAGCAAUAAGCGGUCAACACAAAAUGACCUCAGUGACAACAACCUGCAGAUAUGCUGCAGAUCCUGCUGAGAGGCGAACACAUGCACGAACACGCACACCCAGUCACGCUAACACAAAACAGAUGGCUCCAUCGCCGACCGCGUUAUGAGUUGCUUCACCCCAGAAUCUUUGGGUAGGCCCUGGAAACUCCAACAACAACUCCCGAAAAGCCCGGCCCCUGCUGACCUCGACCCACGUUGGGUUACGUCACUCGGUGGGAACACCACGGCCUAGUUCUGCCCCCUUUGUUUGUUUCCCUCGGCAUCCCAUAGAGCCCGGGGACCUCUGGAGUAAAAACACUUAACAGUAGCAUCCAGCUCGUGGGACAGUUGUGCACAUUCCACCGUCUGGGAACGUCCUCACAAACUGUCACGGGAUCUGAGUAGUUGAGGAAGAGAUGAUGGGACUAAUGACAUGAAGC
RNAcentral lists this long non-coding RNA (3510 nucleotides) under Sparus aurata (gilthead seabream). RNAcentral describes it as "lncRNA (ENSSAUG00010012282.1)". The record is from RNAcentral. Lineage: Eukaryota; Metazoa; Chordata; Actinopteri; Spariformes; Sparidae.